UACCCCUCCCUACCAAACGAGCCAAAAGGGCAUUUUAUUAGAAGUCAGGAGUUUGGAAUUUUCAUCACUUCAUCAUUUUGUACUGUCUGCCUAAGAUGUGCCCACUAUGAAGGACAAAGUAGGGCUAGAGAGAGUCCUCCAGUCUUCAGGAAAGGACAAGGCAGGUAAUUUAACCCAUCAGAAGGCAUGCUUGUG
Molecule: long non-coding RNA, 195 nt
Organism: Eptesicus fuscus (big brown bat)
Lineage: Eukaryota; Metazoa; Chordata; Mammalia; Chiroptera; Vespertilionidae
Exons: 2
Source: RefSeq, a predicted model, not a curated record